RNAcentral lists this long non-coding RNA (684 nucleotides) under Homo sapiens (human). RNAcentral's name for it is "non-protein coding lnc-STRN3-3:1". Lineage: Eukaryota; Metazoa; Chordata; Mammalia; Primates; Hominidae. The record is from RNAcentral.
AAAUAGUGGUAGUGAUUUUCAUUUAAAUCUGCAGUCAACUCAAUAUAACUAUAUUUUUGUUCUUUUAGCCCUGGUUUCCUGAGGUUUGUGAGGGUUUUAUGUGGCAUGUCUUCUGAUGAAAGGAAAGCAUUCUUGCAGUUUACCACUGGUUGUUCAACUCUACCCCCAGGUGGACUGGCUAACCUGCAUCCCAGGCUCACGGUUGUACGCAAGGUUGAUGCUACUGAUGCAAGCUAUCCAUCAGUCAAUACAUGUGUGCAUUACCUUAAGUUGCCUGAAUAUUCUUCCGAGGAGAUCAUGAGAGAGCGCCUGCUAGCUGCUACAAUGGAGAAAGGCUUUCAUCUCAAUUGAGCUUUGAAGUGCAAUGGGAGACAUCAGAGACUUUAAAAAUACUAGUGAAGCCUCUUGUGUUUGUGUGCAGAGAAGUAUAUGAUCCACCAUGCUAAUGACACUUGCCUUUUUUUCCACCAUUAAGGCUUUAAGAACAUGUGGAAUAAGUUUUUUAGCUGCUAAUGACAAAACAAAUCCUGUAACUACCCAGCCAGCAAGUAUAUAGCACAGAACACUGUGUUACUUUACAAGGGCUUAUGUGACUGGAAUAAGGUGGUCCCACUUGACUGUUCCAAAGAGCAGCUUCUCAGAUCUUCAGUGUUCACUGGUAAAUUUCUAACAGUGUAUUUGUGU